Molecule: ribosomal RNA, 557 nt
Filed under: uncultured Sordariomycetidae
Lineage: Eukaryota; Fungi; Ascomycota; Sordariomycetes
Description: SSU rRNA
Rfam family: Eukaryotic small subunit ribosomal RNA
Source: RNAcentral
GGAAGGGAUGUAUUUAUUAGAUUAAAAACCAAUGCCCUUCUGGGCUCACUGGUGAUUCAUGAUAACUCCUCGAAUCGCAUGGCCUUGCGCCGGCGAUGGUUCAUUCAAAUUUCUUCCCUAUCAACUUUCGAUGUUUGGGUAUUGGCCAAACAUGGUUGCAACGGGUAACGGAGGGUUAGGGCUCGACCCCGGAGAAGGAGCCUGAGAAACGGCUACUACAUCCAAGGAAGGCAGCAGGCGCGCAAAUUACCCAAUCCCGACACGGGGAGGUAGUGACAAUAAAUACUGAUACAGGGCUCUUUUGGGUCUUGUAAUUGGAAUGAGUACAAUUUAAAUCCCUUAACGAGGAACAAUUGGAGGGCAAGUCUGGUGCCAGCAGCCGCGGUAAUUCCAGCUCCAAUAGCGUAUAUUAAAGUUGUUGUGGUUAAAAAGCUCGUAGUUGAACCUUGGGCCUGGCUGGCCGGUCCGCCUCACCGCGUGUACUGGUCCGGCCGGGCCUUUCCCUCUGUGGAACCCCAUGCCCUUCACUGGGUGUGGCGGGGAACCAGGACUUUUAC